RNAcentral lists this ribosomal RNA (253 nucleotides) under uncultured bacterium. RNAcentral's name for it is "partial 16S ribosomal RNA". It matches the Rfam family "Bacterial small subunit ribosomal RNA", at positions 524 to 776 of the family's 1533-position model. The record is from RNAcentral.
UACGGGGGGGGCAAGCGUUGUUCGGAAUUACUGGGCGUAAAGGGUUCGUAGGUGGCCUGCUAAGUCAGACGUGAAAUCCCUCAGCUUAACUGGGGAACUGCGUCUGAGACUGGUGGGCUUGAGUGCAGGAGAGGAACGCGGAAUUCCAGGUGUAGCGGUGAAAUGCGUAGAUAUCUGGAGGAACACCGGUGGCGAAGGCGGCAUCCUGGACCGAUACUGACGCUGAGGAGCGAAAGCCAGGGGAGCAAACGGG